This 374-nucleotide ribosomal RNA is filed under the name uncultured organism. RNAcentral's name for it is "partial 16S ribosomal RNA". It matches the Rfam family "Bacterial small subunit ribosomal RNA", at positions 527 to 896 of the family's 1533-position model. The record is from RNAcentral.
GUAGGUGGCAAGCGUUGUCCGGAAUUAUUGGGCGUAAAGCGCGCGCAGGUGGUUCUUUAAGUCUGAUGUGAAAGCCCCCGGGCUCAACCGGGGAGGGUCAUUGGAAACUGGGGAACUUGAGUGCAGGAGAGGAAAGUGGAAUUCCACGUGUAGCGGUGAAAUGCGUAGAUAUGUGGAGGAACACCAGCGGCGAAGGCGACUUUCUGGCCUGUAACUGACACUGAGGCGCGAAAGCGUGGGGAGCAAACAGGAUUAGAUACCCUGGUAGUCCACGCCGUAAACGAUGAGUGCUAAGUGUUGGGGGGGUUUCCGCCCCUCAGUGCUGCAGCUAACGCAUUAAGCACUCCGCCUGGGGAGUACGGUCGCAAAGACUG